Molecule: transfer RNA, 84 nt
Filed under: Bacillus licheniformis
Lineage: Bacteria; Bacillati; Bacillota; Bacilli; Caryophanales; Bacillaceae
Also listed under: 1 other name
Description: tRNA-Leu
Rfam family: tRNA
About the family: Transfer RNA (tRNA) molecules are approximately 80 nucleotides in length.
Source: RNAcentral
GCCGAAGUGGUGGAAAGGCAGACACGCCAGAUUUAGACUCUGGUGUCGAAAGACGUGCAGGUUCAAGUCCUGCCUUCGGUAUCA